Neopelma chrysocephalum (saffron-crested tyrant-manakin) is the source of this 209-nucleotide long non-coding RNA. RefSeq lists it as uncharacterized. The transcript is spliced from 3 exons. Lineage: Eukaryota; Metazoa; Chordata; Aves; Passeriformes; Pipridae. The record is from RefSeq and is a predicted model, not a curated record.
UCAUGAUAGUUUUUCAUCUGCCAAACAGACUGAUUUACAUGAAUACAAAGAGAGCAUAUGUGCGACAUGAUGGCUGACAACAGACAUCAAACUCUGACAGUCACUUAAUAGCAGUCACCUCCUGCCAGAAGAGACCGAGCAGCAGACAUCAAAAGUGGAGAAAAGUCAAAAAGAAAGUUUGGCUGUUGGACUCUCAUUGGAAAAAUGAG